CAAAUCAGUCCAAUCAUUCGGAAUGCAUCCCGAUCUCUUCAGAUCUCGGAAGCUAAGCAAAUUCAAGCCCAGUUAGUACUUGGAUCGGAGCAUACCAGGGAAUGAGCGUUGCAGGCUGGG
This 120-nucleotide ribosomal RNA is filed under the name Petromyzon marinus (sea lamprey). The record is from RNAcentral. Lineage: Eukaryota; Metazoa; Chordata; Hyperoartia; Petromyzontiformes; Petromyzontidae.